Molecule: ribosomal RNA, 253 nt
Filed under: uncultured bacterium
Lineage: Bacteria
Description: partial 16S ribosomal RNA
Rfam family: Bacterial small subunit ribosomal RNA
Source: RNAcentral
UACGUAGGGGGCAAGCGUUGUCCGGAAUCAUUGGGCGUAAAGCGCGCGUAGGCGGCCCGGUAAGUCCGCUGUGAAAGUCAAAGGCUCAACCUUUGAAUGCCGGUGGAUGCUGUCGGGCUAGAGUCCGGAAGAGGCGAGUGGAAUUCCUGGUGUAGCGGUGAAAUGCGCAGAUAUCAGGAGGAACACCGGUGGCGAAGGCAGCUCGCUGGGACGGUACUGACGCUGAGACGCGAAAGCGUGGGGAGCAAACAGG